AUGUACCGCUCGUACACUGCGGUUCUGAGCGCGCCGCCCGCCCUCACCUGACGACCGCUCGCUACGUUGUGUUAGCC
This 77-nucleotide small RNA is filed under the name Xanthomonas populi. RNAcentral describes it as "sX9 sRNA". It matches the Rfam family "Xanthomonas sRNA sX9". The record is from RNAcentral. Lineage: Bacteria; Pseudomonadati; Pseudomonadota; Gammaproteobacteria; Lysobacterales; Lysobacteraceae.